CAAAAAAAUGUAGUCGGAGAUAAUACAUGUAGAAGGAGAUAACGAAGAGAUUCUAAGUUAGGAUAGGCAAGAUGCACUCAUCAGGAUCAUGAUAAGCAAGGGAGGACUUAGGCUAAAUUGGGACCACCAUCAACAUUGGAGUUGGUGGGGGAGCAAUUGGACUGAGGAUAAGGGGAUGGGGAGGAGAGAGACUAGGAGGGAAUGGAUAGGACACAAGAUUUGGAGGGGGC
RNAcentral lists this long non-coding RNA (230 nucleotides) under Elaeis guineensis (African oil palm). RNAcentral's name for it is "long non-coding RNA (EGUI_LNC017165)". Lineage: Eukaryota; Viridiplantae; Streptophyta; Magnoliopsida; Arecales; Arecaceae. The record is from RNAcentral.